RNAcentral lists this ribosomal RNA (309 nucleotides) under uncultured bacterium. RNAcentral describes it as "partial 16S ribosomal RNA". It matches the Rfam family "Bacterial small subunit ribosomal RNA", at positions 504 to 807 of the family's 1533-position model. The record is from RNAcentral.
AGAGACAGCAGUAGCCGCGGGAAUACAGAGGGUGCGAGCGUUAAUCGGAUUUACUGGGCGUAAAGCGUGCGUAGGCGGCUUUUUAAGUCGGAUGUGAAAUCCCUGAGCUUAACUUAGGAAUUGCAUUCGAUACUGGGAAGCUAGAGUAUGGGAGAGGAUGGUAGAAUUCCAGGUGUAGCGGUGAAAUGCGUAGAGAUCUGGAGGAAUACCGAUGGCGAAGGCAGCCAUCUGGCCUAAUACUGACGCUGAGGUACGAAAGCAUGGGGAGCAAACAGGAUUAGAGACCCGAGUAGUCCCUGUCUCUUAUAC